GGGAGAGGAAGAGAACCGCAGCGCAGGAUUUUCAUUUGGGGAAAAUUAAAUAGCCUGGUACUUUAGUGAUCAAUAGCAGCAAGAAUUACCCUGAAGACUUGUGCAAACGAAUUGAGAAGGAAAUAUGUCUAAACAAAGGUGAUACGUGUGAGGAAGAGAUGAACCAA
Molecule: long non-coding RNA, 167 nt
Organism: Orcinus orca (killer whale)
Lineage: Eukaryota; Metazoa; Chordata; Mammalia; Artiodactyla; Delphinidae
Exons: 3
Source: RefSeq, a predicted model, not a curated record